RNAcentral lists this ribosomal RNA (265 nucleotides) under uncultured bacterium. RNAcentral's name for it is "partial 16S ribosomal RNA". It matches the Rfam family "Bacterial small subunit ribosomal RNA", at positions 57 to 305 of the family's 1533-position model. The record is from RNAcentral.
GCAAGUCGAACGGUAACAGGACGCUAGGAUCCCUUCGGGGUGACUUUGUCGCUGACGAGUGGCGGACGGGUGAGUAAUGCAUAGGAAUCUACCCAGUAGUGGGGGAUAACGUGGAGAAAUCCACGCUAAUACCGCAUGUGUCCUACGGGACAAAGCAGGGGACCUUCGGGCCUUGCGCUAUUGGAUGAGCCUAUGUUGGAUUAGCUAGUUGGUAGGGUAAAAGCCUACCAAGGCGACGAUCAGUAGCUGGUUUGAGAGGACGACC